AGUUGGUGAGGUAACGGCUCACCAAGGCAACGAUGGAUAGGGGAACUGAGAGGUUUAUCCCCCACACUGGUACUGAGACACGGACCAGACUCCUACGGGAGGCAGCAGUGAGGAAUAUUGGUCAAUGGACGCAAGUCUGAACCAGCCACGUCGCGUGAAGGAAGACGGCCCUACGGGUUGUAAACUUCUUUUGUAAGGGAAUAAAGUGAGCCACGUGUGGCUUUUUGCAUGUACCUUACGAAUAAGGAUCGGCUAACUCCGUGCCAGCAGCCGCGGUAAUACGGAGGAUCCGAGCGUUAUCCGGAUUUAUUGGGUUUAAAGGGUGCGCAGGCGGGGGAUUAAGUCGGCGGUGAAAUUUUGCAGCUCAACUGUAAAAGUGCCUUCGAAACUGGUUUCCUUGAGUGUAGAUGAAGUAGGCGGAAUUUGUGGUGUAGCGGUGAAAUGCAUAGAUAUCACGAGGAACUCCGAUUGCGCAGGCAGCUUACUAAACUACUACUGACGCUCAGGCACGAAGGCGUGGGGAUCAAACAGGAUUAGAUACCCUGGUAGUCCACGCAGUAUUCUAUAUUACUAGCUGUUUGCGAUACA
RNAcentral lists this ribosomal RNA (588 nucleotides) under uncultured bacterium. Its description in RNAcentral is "bacterial SSU rRNA". It matches the Rfam family "Bacterial small subunit ribosomal RNA", at positions 247 to 833 of the family's 1533-position model. The record is from RNAcentral.